GACGAACGCUGGCGGCGUGCUUAACACAUGCAAGUCGAACGGUAAGGCCUUUCGGGGUACACGAGUGGCGAACGGGUGAGUAACACGUGGGUGAUCUGCCCUGCACUUCGGGAUAAGCCCGGGAAACUGGGUCUAAUACCGGAUAGGACUGCGCGGUGCAUGCCGUGUGGUGGAAAGAUUUAUCGGUGCAGGAUGGGCCCGCGGCCUAUCAGCUUGUUGGUGGGGUAAUGGCCUACCAAGGCGACGACGGGUAGCCGGCCUGAGAGGGCGACCGGCCACACUGGGACUGAGACACGGCCCAGACUCCUGCGGGAGGCAGCAGUGGGGAAUAUUGCACAAUGGGCGCAAGCCUGAUGCAGCGACGCCGCGUGAGGGAUGACGGCCUUCGGGUUGUAAACCUCUUUCAGCAGGGACGAAGCGUGAGUGACGGUACCUGCAGAAGAAGCACCGGCCAACUACGUG
This 462-nucleotide ribosomal RNA is filed under the name uncultured bacterium. Its description in RNAcentral is "partial 16S ribosomal RNA". It matches the Rfam family "Bacterial small subunit ribosomal RNA", at positions 28 to 507 of the family's 1533-position model. The record is from RNAcentral.